AUACGGAGGGUGCAAGCGUUGUCCGGAUUUAUUGGGUUUAAAGGGUGCGUAGGUGGUUUUUUAAGUCAGUGGUGAAAGCCUACAGCUUAACUGUAGAGGUGCCAUUGAAACUGGGGAACUUGAGUAUGGACGAGGUAGGCGGAAUUUGUGGUGUAGCGGUGAAAUGCAUAGAUACCACAAAGAACACCGAUAGCGAAGGCAGCUUACUAGGCCAUAACUGACACUGAGGCACGAAAGUGUGGGGAGCGAACAGGAUUAGAAACCCCGGUAGUCC
RNAcentral lists this ribosomal RNA (274 nucleotides) under uncultured bacterium. RNAcentral describes it as "partial 16S ribosomal RNA". It matches the Rfam family "Bacterial small subunit ribosomal RNA", at positions 523 to 796 of the family's 1533-position model. The record is from RNAcentral.